AGUAACACGUGAGUGACCUGCCUUUUAGACUGGAACAACUUACCGAAAGGUGAGCUAAUGCCGGAUGAGUUAUAUAAGUGCAUGUUUAUAUAGGAAAAGUUGGGGAGACCUGACGCUGAAAGAUGGACUCGCGUCCCAUUAGCUAGUUGGUAGGGGUAAUGGCCUACCAAGGCGACGAUGGGUAGCCGGCCUGAGAGGGGUGGCCGGCCACAUGGGACUGAGACACGGCCCAGACUCCUACGGAAGGCAGCAG
Molecule: ribosomal RNA, 253 nt
Filed under: uncultured bacterium
Lineage: Bacteria
Description: partial 16S ribosomal RNA
Rfam family: Bacterial small subunit ribosomal RNA
Source: RNAcentral